GGAAAGGUGACAGAGUGGUUUAAUGUACCAGUUUUGAAAACUGUCGUAGUUUUAAAACUACCGGGGGUUCGAAUCCCCCCUUUUCCU
Molecule: transfer RNA, 87 nt
Filed under: Poropsis sp. ID1_4
Lineage: Eukaryota; Viridiplantae; Chlorophyta; Ulvophyceae; Bryopsidales
Description: tRNA-Ser
Rfam family: tRNA
About the family: Transfer RNA (tRNA) molecules are approximately 80 nucleotides in length.
Source: RNAcentral